This 275-nucleotide ribosomal RNA is filed under the name uncultured bacterium. RNAcentral describes it as "partial 16S ribosomal RNA". It matches the Rfam family "Bacterial small subunit ribosomal RNA", at positions 338 to 605 of the family's 1533-position model. The record is from RNAcentral.
CCUACGGGUGGCAGCAGUGGGGAAUUUUGGACAAUGGGCGAAAGCCUGAUCCAGCCAUGCCGCGUGAGUGAAGAAGGCCUUCGGGUUGUAAAGCUCUUUCGGCUGAAAAGAAAUCGCACAGGCUAAUACCUUGUGUGGAUGACGGUAUCAGCAUAAGAAGCACCGGCUAACUACGUGCCAGCAGCCGCGGUAAUACGUAGGGUGCGAGCGUUAAUCGGAAUUACUGGGCGUAAAGCGUGCGCAGGCGGUUUUGUAAGAUAGGCGUGAAAUCCCCG